UGACGGGAGCACGGGGCCCAACGGAGCUCUGCUGCGCUCGCCGGGCCGGCAACGUGGGCCUCCUCCUGAUGUAACCCACUAACAGGACAGACCCCAAUGCCUGAAGGAGUUCUGGAUGACAUACCCUCACCUGUAUUUACCCCCAGCCUGAGCCUGGGAAAGGGCACCUGGAGUGUCGAGAGCUGUUAGCUGAUGACUCAGUGGGGAGCAGAUGUCACCCACAUCACCCCUGCAAAGGAACAGCUGCACAGCAGCUACCCGGCACCUUGGAGGUCUUGGCCCUGCCCACUGGUUGUUUUGCGCUUCUGGGGUGCCUUAUCUGCCCCUGGGGCACUUUCCCUUCUCCUGACCCCCUCUGCAUCAUCACUGAAUCCUCCGCUGCCUUCAUGCCCAUCCACAGGGCUAGCUCAGAGAGCGGCACCUCUGAGGUAACUUCCUCCCUUCCCCUCCCUUCCCCUCCCACCUGACAGGCAGAGCAGGAGAUUUCUCUUAGGCCUGCUGCUUUAGGUGGGAAGACAAGGGGGUCAGGGGCUCUGCUGUGACCACACUGCACACUUGUCUGCAGGCCCGCAGAGAACUCUGUCAAGAGAUGAGUCCCUGCAUGGGUGGAGGACAAGUUCAUGAGGGCAAGGCCCAUGGGACGACAUACUUCUUGUACUUUGAGCUUGGCCAACUUUGCGGAGGACAGUGCCAGGGCGGGCCCCACCUACUCUAGGUCCAAUCUUCCUCAGAUCUUACCUUCUCUAAGCCCCACCAUCCCAGGCCCCGUCUGCCAAGAGGACACUCACUCUAGUCCCAGGGUUCUCUGGGGAGCCCACAAUGCCCCCUCCCCUGCCUUGGUCCCAUUGUCCUUUCCAGAACAGAUGGAUUUGGAGCAAGGUAUGGUGCGGAGAUGAUCUCUGCAGAGAGACCCUGAGACUCCCAAACCACAGGACCUGAGCAGUUCAGCCAGACAGGACCCUUUCUCUCUGUCCACGAAUUGCCAUGUUAGAGCCUCUGGGUGUGUGACCUUAUUCAGACAAAGGGUCCCACAGAAGUGAUAUGGUCAAGUGACCAGAGGUGAGAGUGUGAUAGUUAUGCAAAUGGACACAAAUCUGAGACAGGUGGCCUUAUGAGAUCCACAAAAGGAAUGGUAACCCUGGGAAGAUGGAGGUGUAAGUCAGCAACACAGCCACCAUCCAAGAAUGGAACUCAGAAACACAGAAGGUCGUCCCUUGGGUCCACCGGAAACAGCACACCCCUCCCUGAGCCACCUUCAGGCCCCCAGCCUCCAGGGUUUUAAAAGAACAUGGUGGGCCCAUGCCAGCAGACUGCAGUGAUGAGUCAGGAUAGCUCCAACACACACACACACACACACACACACACACACAGAUAUGUCAGUACCUGAGUACAGUCUGCACACUCACACACUCACAUACACACACACACACACACACACACACACACACAGAGGGUGGGUGACACAAACCCCGCCUCUGGACCUCAGGGCUGGAAAAUGGUGUUGAUAAAUAGAAGA
This is a long non-coding RNA of Mesocricetus auratus (golden hamster), 1516 nucleotides long. RefSeq lists it as uncharacterized. NCBI's taxonomy places the organism in Eukaryota, Metazoa, Chordata, Mammalia, Rodentia, Cricetidae. The record is from RefSeq and is a predicted model, not a curated record. The transcript is spliced from 4 exons.